RNAcentral lists this transfer RNA (77 nucleotides) under Lawsonia intracellularis. Its description in RNAcentral is "tRNA-Pro". It matches the Rfam family "tRNA". Rfam says of the family: Transfer RNA (tRNA) molecules are approximately 80 nucleotides in length. Their secondary structure includes four short double-helical elements and three loops (D, anti-codon, and T loops). Further hydrogen bonds mediate the characteristic L-shaped molecular structure. tRNAs have two regions of fundamental functional importance: the anti-codon, which is responsible for specific mRNA codon recognition, and the 3' end, to which the tRNAs corresponding amino acid is attached (by aminoacyl-tRNA synthetases). tRNAs cope with the degeneracy of the genetic code in two manners: having more than one tRNA (with a specific anti-codon) for a particular amino acid; and 'wobble' base-pairing, i.e. permitting non-standard base-pairing at the 3rd anti-codon position. Lineage: Bacteria; Pseudomonadati; Thermodesulfobacteriota; Desulfovibrionia; Desulfovibrionales; Desulfovibrionaceae. The record is from RNAcentral. RNAcentral also lists the same sequence under 2 other names.
CGGAGUGUGGCGCAGUUUGGUAGCGCACCUGGUUUGGGACCAGGGGGCCGCUGGUUCGAAUCCAGUCGCUCCGACCA